UCUUCAUUCCUCCUCGCACUCUCUCACCGGUCAGAGAGGCGAGAGAGUGUGUGAAAUGAAGAGA
This is a non-coding RNA of Pristionchus pacificus, 64 nucleotides long. The record is from Rfam. NCBI's taxonomy places the organism in Eukaryota, Metazoa, Nematoda, Chromadorea, Rhabditida, Neodiplogasteridae.